AAUGAACGCUGGCGGCGUGCUUAACACAUGCAAGUCGUACGAGAAACCCCGGCUUGCCGGGGGAGUAAAGUGGCGCACGGGUGAGUAACGCGUGGGUAAUCUACCCUCGAAUUGGGGAUAACACACCGAAAGGCGUGCUAAUACCGAAUAAGACCACGACCUCCACGGGGGUUGCGGUCAAAGAUGGCCUCCGCUUGCAAGCGGUCUUUCGAGGAUGAGCGCGCGUACCAUUAGCUUGUUGGUGGGGUAAUGGCCUACCAAGGCAACGAUGGUUAGCUGGUCUGAGAGGAUGGCCAGCCACACUGGAACUGGAACACGGUCCAGACUCCUACGGGAGGCAGCAGUGAGGAAUUUUGCGCAAUGGGGGAAACCCUGACGCAGCAACGCCGCGUGAGUGAAGAAGGCCUUCGGGUUGUAAAGCUCUGUCAAGUGGGAAGAACCUUUUUCGGCCGAAUACGCCGAGAAACUGACGGUACCGCUGAAGGAAGCACCGGCUAACUCCGUGCCAGCCGCCGCGGUAA
Molecule: ribosomal RNA, 521 nt
Filed under: uncultured bacterium
Lineage: Bacteria
Description: partial 16S ribosomal RNA
Rfam family: Bacterial small subunit ribosomal RNA
Source: RNAcentral